GUACUGGACUAAAAAGCUGGAGCGCAUCAACUCUAUGAGGACACAUGAUGAGUAUUCACUGCAAGAUGAAGCACAGAGAAGACAGCUGCCCUCAGCGCCCUCGCAGUGCUGCGACUGGACAUACUUUGGAUGGAAUGACCAGCAGACUUUUGAUGACCAUGACAGUGCUGUGGAUGACAGGGACAGUGAUUACCGCAGUGAGACAAACAGCAGGCCUCCA
Long non-coding RNA from Cyprinus carpio (common carp), 220 nucleotides. RefSeq lists it as uncharacterized. Lineage: Eukaryota; Metazoa; Chordata; Actinopteri; Cypriniformes; Cyprinidae. The transcript is spliced from 4 exons. The record is from RefSeq and is a predicted model, not a curated record.